RNAcentral lists this ribosomal RNA (498 nucleotides) under uncultured bacterium. RNAcentral's name for it is "bacterial SSU rRNA". It matches the Rfam family "Bacterial small subunit ribosomal RNA", at positions 28 to 507 of the family's 1533-position model. The record is from RNAcentral.
GACGAACGCUGGCGGCGUGCCUAAUACAUGCAAGUCGAGCGGAAUGAUGAAGAAGCUUGCUUCUUCUGAUUUUAGCGGCGGACGGGUGAGUAACACGUGGCAACCUACCUUGUAGAUUGGGAUAACUCCGGAAACCGGGGCUAAUACCGAAUAAUCCAUUUUGCUUCAUGGCGAGAUGUUAAAAGGCGGCUUCGGCUGUCACUACGAGAUGGGCCCGCGGCGCAUUAGCUAGUUGGUAGGGUAAUGGCCUACCAAGGCGACGAUGCGUAGUCGACCUGAGAGGGUGAUCGGCCACACUGGGACUGAGACACGGCCCAGACUCCUACGGGAGGCAGCAGUAGGGAAUCUUCCACAAUGGACGAAAGUCUGAUGGAGCAACGCCGCGUGAGUGAAGAAGGUUUUCGGAUCGUAAAACUCUGUUGUAAGGGAAGAACACGUACGAGAGUAACUGCUCGUACCUUGACGGUACCUUAUUAGAAAGCCACGGCUAACUACGUG